GGGCAAAAAGGCAGGAGAAAUAGGAAGCAGGUAGGACUUGGUGUUACGUUUAUGCACCAUGCUUGGUGACUUUAGUUUUCUUUUUUUGUGAGCUGCAUUAAACUGCUUGUUACGAUUUUGGGUUAAGUCUAGCUGGCAUCAGUUAUUUAACUGUUCCCUUUGGCCUCUGAAGAGAAAGAAUGGUAGAAAGAAUGGAACAUGAAUGCCGUUUGGUCAAAAGAUUCAGGUUCCUCUAAUGGCAGGACUCCAGAUGCUGAUACUGAGCUUUGGGCAGAAGUCUGGAAAAGGUGGCUAUGAAGAAGUUGAGAACUUAAACUAGGCAUGGUUCCUUCAGCAAAUUCUCACAGAUACUUGGGCUCAUGAAACAACCAAGAGUAAGAACCUUGAGACUGCUACCUCUUCAUCUUAGAGAUGAAGAAACUGAGGCUGCAUAUGGAAAGGCUGGAGGCUAGAGAGGUGACAUGAAGUCACUCAUCAAGUCAGGGCAAAGCUGGUGUUAUGACGCAUGGCUCCCUUACCAUGAUGACAUUAUAGCUGGCAUUAUAACUGCAGUCACAGUAGGGACUAGGAUACCUGCAGAGUUGUAGAGGCUGAUGAUAAAGUAGACAAGAGCACAGAUCACUGGGCUGCGCAGCAGAAAAUCUAGGUCAAAGUUGUUUCCCUGAGUCUUUCGACAAGUCACAAAUGCUCUAGAUAUCAGUUUUCUGAUUGACAGAUGACUAUAUAACAGCCCCCAUUGACCUCAAUGGACCAAAUGAAAUGUGGGUUGUGAAGAUGCUAUGACAACCAAAGGCAAUACAUGUGUAGGGCAUUACAGAAUACAAUUGGCCAUUCCUUCCCUAAGGAAUUCUCAACAAUUAUUCAGAGCUGCCAAAGCAUCUUAAUUCACUACCACCCAACAGAAGACAACAAAAUUAUCUGGCAACUCAGAUGAACCUGCAUCCCACACACAGUUUUAGUUAUGUGUGUGUUGAGAAGCUUGCUUUGAACUCAGCAAGUUGUAAACAUUUAUUUCAUUUAUUUAUUCAUGAACUCAUUUAUUGAAUAAUUGAAGCACAAAAAAUAGUAGACAUAGUGCCUGCCUUUCCCUCAAGGGAAAAACAAACAGAUAAAUAAAUGUGAUUUAUAUGGCAAGUGUUAUAUAUUAAGGACUUGGAAAGACUAAGAGAGGAGGUAAAGGGUUAGGAGGAGGUUUUAAGAAAGAAGUGGUCUUGAAGGUUGAGUAAUAUCGGGACCUGCUGAGAAGGUAAAGACAUGCUGAGAUUUUGACCAAGAGAGGAACCUUAAUAAAAUCAUGAGAAUGUGACAGUAAGAGGCACGUAUGGGAAAUAUUGUGCUGUCCAGUGAGACAGAGGGUAGAGAAUAUGGAGAGACUGUUGAGAAAUGGUUCUACACAGGCAAGGUAAGGUCAGUCACGAAAGUCCUUGAUUAGCAGCUAGGGAGAUUAGUAUUUUUCCAACAGACCUGGGAGGACACUAAUAUUUAUUCUAUAGCAACAUUCUUCCAGCUUAAAAUGAGGCAAGCUAAUUAAUUAAAUUUAUAAAUAAUUUGUACAAGUACAAGGAAAUGUAAGAAAACUACUAAUUCAACUAUCUGGAACUACGGUUAUAACCAUUAAGUGAACAUUGUUCUAGACUUUUCUCUAUCCUUACAUACAAAUAGAUUAAAAGAGAAAGAUACUUUUUAUAAAAACAGGAUUAUUUUCUGGUUCUGGCAACAAUUAUACAAAUAAAAAUAAAAUGUAAAUUAAUCUGGAAAAAAGAUCAUUUCUGGUAUGAUGGCAUGCCAGAAAUAAGACAAUUUAGGUUUAAGCAGUAAACUUAUGAAUGGAUGCUGUGAUGGUUUUGAAAGAUACUAGGUUGGAAAAAGGGAUUAGAGGCUGAAGUUUUAAUGCCCAUGUAGACAUGGGAAAUAUGGCAUUGGGCCUGACUGAGGCAGGCAGCUGGAACACAGAUCCCUAUUUAAACUGGGACCCUGGAAAUGAAAAGUUAUUCCCUUGGUAAAAGGAGACUAGCAAAAAAAAUUACUCACUGGCUCAGGUAGUGUGACUAGAAAAUUUGUUACUUUUUGGUACUCUGGAUGGGAAAAUAUGAGGGAAAUGAAAGCUCCUGGUCACCAAGAGUAGAUAUAAAGUUGACAUUUACAUUCUCAAUUUAAUGCUGGAAUAUUUAAGCUGAGAAACUAACAUAAAAACUAUUCCAGACAAAAGCAAAAGUUAAAUAAUUCUAUAGCAAGACUUUUACACUCCAGGAUGUGCAGGUAUUCUGGGGGAAAAUGGAGGGAAACAAGUAAAACCUGUAAAUUCCAUGGGGAAAUAAUCUAUAAUGAGAGUCAGCAGACUGUAUGAGUAGGAAGGCUAGUAUUCCCACAAACUUGAAAUAAUAGCACAAUCUGAGAAAGACUAUACAAUAACCAUGCUUCAAAUGG
RNAcentral lists this long non-coding RNA (2427 nucleotides) under Macaca fascicularis (crab-eating macaque). RNAcentral describes it as "lncRNA (ENSMFAG00000063440.1)". The record is from RNAcentral. Lineage: Eukaryota; Metazoa; Chordata; Mammalia; Primates; Cercopithecidae.